UUAACUACUUGUUGACACGAAUUAUUUAAAAUAUUGGAACGCAGUACGUUAUGUAUUAUAUGUUGGAAGGCGCUGGGAUGUAAAUAAAAAAGCAAAAGCGUAAAUAUAAACGCUGGGGGCUAACGUUGAUACAUUACUGUUCUAUUUUUUAUAAGAAUUAUUCAUAAAAAAAUCUCCUUGUAUCCUUCUGCGUUAAUUUCACUACUUAUUAAUUGGU
Non-coding RNA from Schizosaccharomyces pombe (fission yeast), 217 nucleotides. Lineage: Eukaryota; Fungi; Ascomycota; Schizosaccharomycetes; Schizosaccharomycetales; Schizosaccharomycetaceae. The record is from the annotation of a GenBank genome assembly.